AGUUCCUGGACUUUCCCCUGGCAUUGACAGAGGAGAUGGGGCCCUGAAUGCGGUGAGUACUACCACCAGUUCGAAAGAAGGGGGGUUAGGACAGAAAGAUAAUUGUGUCAUGGAGUCAAGGCGGAUCGCCUUGGAGCUGUCAAAGGGGUGAAGGAUAUUUCGCUUGCUCCGGGUCAUCAGCGCUCAGAGACACGGCUGGGAGUGUGCCGGAAGCUGAAGCAAUCUGGAAGUGACAGGCCAGCGUCAGGGGGAGAAGCCUUAGUGAAAGAGCCACUGAGUCACCACAGUCUCUGUCUGGAGCGGCAGCCUUGGAGCCAGACGCCGCCACAGCCGAGACGCAAGAAGAUGUCACAGAGGGUCCAGGGUGACUGUGACUGAACAGCUGGGUUGCCACAGCUCUGAGCUACAGGAAUACCGUUUUGUUACUAUUACUGUGGCCUUACCGGCCACCCCUCCCCCAAGACAAGGAUCAAACCUCAGCAUCCAAGAACCCUGACGGCAUGAAAGUUAUGACUUGAAGAGCGAUGAGCUGCUCGUGGCAGAAAACCAGGUCCCGUUGACAGAAAGGAUGGAAUGAGUUCUGCCUCUUUCCUCCUGGUGUGGCCCGAGAGCCGCCGAACUUCGCCGUUGCUUUCUAUGUUUUGAAAAUGUGAACAUGUUUCAAGGGGAUUUGAGAAACACUUGGUCGGUGGUUGCAGGGAUUUCCGCAGAAGGGCUCCGAGGAGCCAAAAGCAUCACGGGCCUCUGUCCUUGCCCUCAGAACGUUGGAAUGGUCGUGACACGAACUACAGUCGACCUCGGUGGCUGGGGAGGUUUUGCAGCGCGUAAGCAGCUCUUUUUAGGCAAGAUGGAGGAGACCACCGCCUUGAAAGACAAAGCUCUGUGUGGCCCCCGCUGGCCUGGCAGCCCACCUCUGCAGGCUUGAAGACACAGCAGCUCACCAUCUAUCCAAGUCACCAGGAUAAGGCUGAGGGCAGCUUUGUCAGAAUGUUUGGUUAAACAUUCUAAGAAUGUGGUUCUCCUCUAGAAGUGCCCUCCAGGGUAACAUCCACUCAGUCACUCUACCCCUUGAAUAGAGGUGUUCAACCAGUUACUCUCCUACCCAAUUGCAUCGGCACGUGGGCAGAGUCCUCAAUCCUGUCCACACGCAGUACCUACUGUCUUUCACUUGUGUGCUCGUCCUAGAACCCAGUCAGGGAGAAGAAUCCUCCUAGAGGGGCACCUGGGUGGCUCAGUCGGUUAAGCAUCUGAAUCUUGGUUUCAGCUCAGGUCAUGAUCUCAUGGUUCAUGAGUUCAAACCCUGCAUUGGGGUCUGUGCUGACACCUUGGAGCCAGCUUGGGAUUCUCUCUCUCCCUCUCUCUCUCUCUGCCCCUUCCCUGCCUGCUCUCUCUCUCUCUCUCUCAAAAUAAAUAAAUGAACUUAAAAAAUUAAAAAAAAAAU
RNAcentral lists this long non-coding RNA (1441 nucleotides) under Felis catus (domestic cat). RNAcentral's name for it is "lncRNA (ENSFCAG00000051522.1)". The record is from RNAcentral. Lineage: Eukaryota; Metazoa; Chordata; Mammalia; Carnivora; Felidae.